This 75-nucleotide transfer RNA is filed under the name Philodulcilactobacillus myokonensis. RNAcentral's name for it is "tRNA-Arg". It matches the Rfam family "tRNA". Rfam says of the family: Transfer RNA (tRNA) molecules are approximately 80 nucleotides in length. Their secondary structure includes four short double-helical elements and three loops (D, anti-codon, and T loops). Further hydrogen bonds mediate the characteristic L-shaped molecular structure. tRNAs have two regions of fundamental functional importance: the anti-codon, which is responsible for specific mRNA codon recognition, and the 3' end, to which the tRNAs corresponding amino acid is attached (by aminoacyl-tRNA synthetases). tRNAs cope with the degeneracy of the genetic code in two manners: having more than one tRNA (with a specific anti-codon) for a particular amino acid; and 'wobble' base-pairing, i.e. permitting non-standard base-pairing at the 3rd anti-codon position. The record is from RNAcentral. Lineage: Bacteria; Bacillati; Bacillota; Bacilli; Lactobacillales; Lactobacillaceae.
UGGUCCCAUAGCAUAACAGGAUAGUGCGUCCGCCUCCUAAGCGGCUGAUCUCGGUUCAAAUCCGAGUGGGACCAU